RNAcentral lists this ribosomal RNA (238 nucleotides) under uncultured bacterium. Its description in RNAcentral is "partial 16S ribosomal RNA". It matches the Rfam family "Bacterial small subunit ribosomal RNA", at positions 524 to 762 of the family's 1533-position model. The record is from RNAcentral.
UACAUAGGGUGCAAGCGUUAAUCGGAAUUACUGGGCGUAAAGCGUGCGCAGGCGGUUAUAUAAGACAGAUGUGAAAUCCCCGGGCUCAACCUGGGAACUGCGUUUGUGACUGCGAGGCUAGAGUACGGCAGAGGGGGGUAGAAUUCCUCGUGUAGCAGUGAAAUGCGUAGAGAUGUGGAGGAAUACCGAUGGCGAAGGCAGCCCCCUGGUUAGUACUGACGCUCAUGCACGAAAGCGU